GUGAAUGAUGUGAAGAGGGUCUUUCUGUCGUCACACCUCGACGCAGUUUCUAGUUAGGUUAGAUUAGCUUAGCUUAUUCAGGUC
Molecule: long non-coding RNA, 84 nt
Organism: Maniola jurtina (meadow brown)
Lineage: Eukaryota; Metazoa; Arthropoda; Insecta; Lepidoptera; Nymphalidae
Exons: 3
Source: RefSeq, a predicted model, not a curated record